UGUGUUUAGGUUUAGAUUAUUGAUCUCUAUAUAAGAGUUACCAAAGUUGUGGUGAACCUUAAGAGAAUUUGAGAUUGUGAAGAGAUCAAUAGCUUUACGUUUUGAGUGAGUUUUCUAAAGAAAUUAAAGAGAGUUAUUCUUUAUUUUGAGUUCUUAAACAUUUCUCUAAAACAAGAAUUGGUAUUAGAGCUUUAAAGGUUCAAUCAAACCAACCAAUCCAUUAAGAGAGAAAUAUGAGCGACGUUGUGGUGGUAACGGAGAAACAAGCAAGUGGAGGCGGAGGAGCACCAUCGUCCAUUCAAUGUCCCAUGUUGAACUCGAGUAACUAUACCGUGUGGGCCAUGAGGAUGAGAAGUACACUCAAGGUUCAUGAGGUUUGGGACACUAUAGCGACUAAUGAGUCCAAUGAAAAGAAGAACGACAUGGCAUCUGCUUUGAUGUUCUAAUCCAUACCGGAAGCCCUAGUUCUACAAGUUGGUGAGCUUGAUACAGCGAGGAAAGUAUGGGACUACAUCAAAGCAAAACACGUUGGAGCAGAACGUGUUAAGUUAGCUACAUCAAACUCUUAUGGCAGAGUUAGACCGGUGUACGAUGAAAGAAACAGAGAGAAUUAAUGACUUUGAUGAAAAGUUAGCUGGAAAUUUAAAAAAAUCAGCGUCAUUAGGAGUUAUCAUUGAAGAAUCAAGGCUGGUCAAGAAGUUUUUUAAGAGUCUUCCUUGAAGGAAGUACAUACAAAUUGUAGCAUCUCUUGAACAAGUAUUAGAUCUCAACACUACAGGCUUUGAAGACAUAGUUGGACGUCGUAAAGUGUAUGAAGAACGUAUUUUUGAUGAAGAGGAUGUUCAAGAUAAGCAAAGCAAACUUAUGUAUGCAAACACGGAGAAUCAAACGAGCCAAUACAAUCGAGAGUAUCAUGGAGAUUCUAAAGGUAGAGGUCGAGGAGGAUGCUCUUACUACAAGGGAAGAGGCCGCGGAAGGUUUAAUGGGGGAAGAGAUACAUCAAAAAUCAUGUAUUAUAGGUGUGACAAGUUAGGUCACUACGCCUCUGAUUGCCCGGAUCGACUUCUCAAGCUGCAAGAAACCCAAGAGAACGAGAAAGAUGAUACACAAACUGCGGAUGAACUUAUGGUUCACGAAGUAGUGUAUCUAAAUGAGAAGAAUUGCAUUCCGAGCAACUAUGAAACUAACACCGGAGAAGAUGUGUUUGGUAUCUCGAUAACGGAGCUAGUAACCACAUGACAGGUGAUCAAAGAUACUUCACUAGUACAGAUGAUUCUGUCACCGGGAAAGUGCGAUUUGGCGAUGAUUCACGGAUUGAUAUCAAAAGGAAAGGAUCGAUCUUAUUCUUUGACAAGAAUGGCGAACAUAGAAAGAUGUUGGAUGUCUAUUUCAUUCCGAAUUUAAAAAGCAACAUCAUUAGGUUGGGACAAGCUACAGAACCGGGCUGUGAUAUAAGGAUGAAAGAUGACAUUCUAACAAUGCAUGACCAAGAGGGAAAAUUACUUGUCCAUGCAACAAGAUCAAAGAAUCGACUCUAUAACGUUCGGAUGGCAAGGAAGUGAUAUCUCCCUAUUUUUACUGAUUUUAACUAUGUUUUAGGUAUAGGAUUUUGAGUCUUUAUGUUAUUUCUCGAGUCUUUUAGUGUCUUAUCAGGUAUUCUAUGCAGUGGGACAACAAUGGAGAUGAGGAGACAUUUUGGAGCAAAAUCUACGGAAAAGGAUGCUAAGGACGAUUUCAGUCCCAGAUUCAGCGAGAGUGUCAAUCGAUACACUCCUAGUGUCGAUCGACACCAGUUUCGGCCCAGCAAAGUCCAUUACGCUUUCAAGUUUACAGAAGAGGAAAUUUGCCCAAGAAGACUUCCCUAUUUGUAUUAUUAGUCUUUGGAUGUUUUAUAGGGCUUAUAUAUAGUUUUAGAGGUAAUUGUUUAGACCUAAGUUCCUUUUAUCAAGUUCUUUGCAAAUCCCUAUUUUCAGAGACAUAAGCUAUUCAUCCCUUGUUCUUGAGAGAUUCAUUCAGUUUUCAAUACAGUUAAAAUAUCUCUUCUUACUCUUAUCUUAUUUGCUGUGUUUAUGUUUUCUUACUCAAUUAUGUUGCUUGUUUCAUUCAAUAUGUCUGAGUAGUUUGCUUGUUAUUAAUAGUGUUUCUCAUUAGGGAUUCAUAUGGUUUAGUAGAUCUCCCCCUUUGCUAGGUUAUCUGUAGAAUUCUUCUUCUUUGAUUAUACUUUAUGUUAGAUCUAGAGUAAUUAACUAGAUCUUGAAUCUAGACAAUAGAUAUGCCAACCAUAGGUAUCUGUAGUUGGAUCUAUUAUUUGAUGAGCAUGGUUUAGAAGUGUGUAAUAAGAAUCGGCUUAUCUACUAAGGUGAACAAUUGAACUCGUUUAGAAUGCAAGUUUAGUUUGAAAAUCUCUCGGCUUCUCCGGUUAUUCUUAGCUAUAGGCAUAGGGAGUUUUGCGGAACACCACCGAUUAUUUUAGAAUUAGAGUUUGAGUUUAAGAAUGUAGGUUCCUGAGAAUACCCUAUUCCUAACUCUUUAUUUAAUUGUCUACAACUAAUCAAUCUACUGUCUUUUUACUUUGUUCUCUUUUUAUUUCAAUCAUUACCUGCUAGCUUAAUCUCGAAAUACAACUCACUGUUCGAACAAAAGAACUUUGUAGAAAUCGAUCCCUAAAUACUGCAAUUUAUCUCUUAUUUGAGAGAGUAGUUCUUAAGGAAAUUUGAACCUUAUCAAAUUUGGCGUCGUUGCCAAAGUUCUUGGGAUUGAGUUUAGUUUAGAGAUUUGGUCUAGUUUUUACUUUUACUUUGUUACUCACGCGUUUCUUGUUUUCUUCUUUUUUUUGUGUUUCAGGUGUAUGUCUAGGCAAACAAGGAGCACACAAAAGAAGGAGUUGAUCAACUUGUCUGUUCUGGAAUUGGGGAAACUUGAACGUAGAAACCGAAAAACUCAUAGAUUUGCAAUGGCUGACAGAGUCAUCCAAGCUGAUGCAGAUGGAGAUUUGAGAGAUGAGGAUGGGCAAGCCUACAAUGAGGCUGGUUAGAGAUUGGAUGAUCAUGGACUCAUCCUACCUGAGGACGCCAAUGAGGAUCAGGCGCGCUUCAAUGCGCAAUUAGCUGCCAGAGACGCAGCAGGGCUCGGUGUCGAGCGACACCAACUGGGUGUCGAUCGACACCUUUGGGAGCAUAAUGUAGACGCGAUUGGUGUCGAGCGACACAACAGAGGUGUCGAUCGACACCAACCCCAGGUUCUUGUAGCUAUUCCUCCAGCUGCGGAACCACGUCAUACUCUCGAGGAUUUCAACAGGCCUGACCUGUUCUAUGCUAAUCGAUCAGCGAUCGUACCCCCACCCUUCCAGAGGAACGAUUAUGAGAUGAAGCCUUGCUACUUUGCUUUAGUAGGCCAGCAUCCUUUCCAUGGCUUGUCUCAUGAGCAGCCAAUGGACCAUAUCGAGCGUUUUGAGGACCUCGUUCUGAGCAUCAAAGCUAAUGGAGUCUCAGAGGACUACCUACUGUGCAAGCUCUUCCCUUAUUCAUUGUUGGGGAAGCCGCUUAUUGGCUGAAACAACUUAAAGUGGGUUCCCUCAAGCCUUAGAGAAGCAUCAAAAUAGCUUUCUUGAACAAUUUCUAUGAUGAUGCUAAGUCUGAGGAGCUGAGAAACAAGCUGUCUACCUUCACCCAAGGUCUAGCUGAAUCUUUCAAAGCCGCUUGGGUUCGUUUCAAGGAGUAUCAUCGGGACUGCCCGCAUCAUGGCUUCGUGAGGUACAACUUCUUGGUACCUUUUUAAGAGGAGUGGAUUGGAGAUACCUGAUUGCUCUAGAUGCAGCAAGCAAUGGUAACUUCAACACGAGAUAUCCAGCUGAUGCUACCGCUCUGAUAGAGAAUCUCGCUUGCAGUAACAGCACCAAGAAUGCUGACUUUGAGAGGAAGAAGAUUGCUGGAGCUGUUUCAGGCAAUCAGAUGGCAGAGGUGAAUGCUAAGUUAGAUUCAGUUCAUAACUUGCUUACAAGGAAGAAGCAUGUCCACUUUGCAGCUGAGGAUGAGACCAUUGAGCCCGAAUAUGAGUCUAAAGAGGGAGUCUUCUACAUAGAUGGUCAGGCUACAGGAAGUUUGGGCAGCCACAAGGCAACUUCAGUGGCAAUUGGUUUACAGGGAACCAGAGUUCCUCAAACUACACUCCAAAACCUGCUAUCCAGAAGAAAUUUCCUCAUAGCAACUUCUAGAGGAACUAUGGUAAUUCAGCUUAACCCCCCUCUACCCUCCUUAGAGACCAGAAUAGAAUCCAUGCUUGAGCAGAUUCUUGAGAGCAAAACAAAGCUCGUUGUGGAGUUUAAAGGCAAGUUUGAUGCUGUCUACACAGAUCUUAAUGGGAAGAUCGACAAUCUGAGCUCUCACUUGAAGAAGCUAGAUGUAUAGGUUGCUCAAACUACAUAAUCCAUUAAGAGACAAGAGGGCAUUCUUCUUGGUAAUCCGUGAUGCUAACCCAAGGAAGAGCUGUAAUGCCAUCUUGAUCAGAGAAGGAGAUGAUGUGUGGGAAGAAUUGGACACUGAAGACGAGUUGGAGCUCGUAGUUGUAGAGAUGGUGUCGAACGACAAAGAGAUGGUGUCUAUCGACACCCUAUGAAAAAAUCUUCUCUGAGAAGAUUCCACACGAUGGUGUCGAUUGACUCACCUCUUGUGUUGAUCGCCACUAGGUCCGGACUGCACCAUAUGAGGUGCAAGUCCCAAUGCAGGCCGAGUCUGCUUACACUCCUCCUGCCCUUAUCUGAGGAAGUGUCGUUCUAAGUAGGAGAUUCACGCUGCUAAGUGCAUAACCAUCUUGGAAAAGAUCCUCACUUCUCUUCCUAAGGAUGUUUCUGAGACAUCUUCUACUCCACUCAAUAGGUAUGUCAAGCGACUUGUUGACAAUGGUAUUACCUCAGAUGACACUAAGCUGCUGACCCGGGACAUCAGUGCAAUCAUGCUGCCUAAGGUCAGGAAAGAGAAAGCACAGAGUGUGGACAUUCCUGACUACAUCCGCACCAUCACUCCUGAUCAGACCAUUGAGAAGCUUCCAGAUCCAGGUAGCUUUGUUCUUGAUUCCUCUAUCUCCUCAAGCAGGUUCAUCGCUCUUUGUGUGAUCUGGGAUCAAGUAUCAACCUCAUUACUAAGUUUGUUGCUGAGAGACUAGGCAUGACUAACUAAAGGCCGACUCGAAUCACUCUCCUCUUCGCGGAUCAUUCCAAACGAAUCUCUAAAGGAAUCCUUGAGGAUUUGCCUGUUAAGGUUGGUAACUCUCUAAUCCCUGCUGAUUUCGUGGUCCUGGACUAUGAUAAGAAACCCAAGGAUCCUAUGAUCCUUGGAAAAGAAUUCCUAGCUACAGCUGGUGAUAGGAUUGAUGCGAAGAAAGGUAGGAUCUCUCUAAAGGUUUAUGAUUUGAAGAUGAAGUUUGGCAUGGAUGGUUCAGAGUUCACUAAGACUAUCAGUAGUAUUGCCUCUAGCACAGACACACCUCCUCAGAAUCCCAGACAUAGCCACACACAACGCUCCCAUCAGCUCAGCUCGCCAAAGGGAGUUUUAGAGCAACGGUGUCGAUCGACACCACAACUCCUGUCGAUCGACACUCUCGGGAUUCACAGACAGAGGGUUCUGCACAAUCUCUUCAGCCCACACCUAUUUCAGCUUUAGGUGAUAGGUUCUCUUGUAUUUCUUCUCCUGUUUUCCCUUCGACUAAUUCUUUCGAUUCUUCGAAGUCUGCUUCACAAGAUAACAAGCCUAGAGUUCUUCGAAAGCUUGUUUCUCAUGUUGUUUUUGCAGGUAACGAGAAGAGUAUUGAUCGACACACCGCUGAGUGUCGAUCGACACCUACAGCUGUCUAGACCGGUUCAGCUUACACACCGCCUUGGAGGGCGUGGAGGAAGCAAUCCUCCACCAUUCCACCCACAUCCUGAACUCCGCAAACUCAAGCUAUUGACUCAAAAUAAGUGCUUAGUGGGAGGCAACCCACUGGUUUGAUUUUUCUCUUCCCUUUCUUUUAUUUUCUUUUAUUUUUGAUUUAUUUUUCCCACCUUCUUCGUAUUUGAAUGCCACUGGGACAGUGUCGUUUAAGUCUGGGGGAGGUUCUUACUAAUUAUGCUUUUAUUUUUUAUUCUUUUUUUUUUUUGUUUUUGAGUUUAUUCAGUCAUUUUCUUUUCCUUCUUAAAAGAAAAAAAAAACGUUUUGUUUAGUUUAGUUAGGAAUCAUUAUCUAUAUUUCUUUUCCUUCUUAAAAGAAAAAAAAAACGUUUUGUUUAGGUUGAUGAGUGUUGCAGGUUCGACUCAAUCCGACUAUUGGAAAAUCUAGAUGGCAAACCAACAGACUUGAGGGUAUCCUAGUUUCCAACACAACCUCUAAGGCUGGAGCUAAUCUCACUUCUCUUCUUUUUACCUCUUCAAACGGUUAGUAUUCAUAGAUCUUGACUCCUUAUUCAUACCUGAUAUUGAGACCAAUGUGAUCAAGAAACUUAGUGUUCCUCUCCCCUUAUAUAAAAAAAAAGAAAAUAAUAAUGAGAGAUUGAUAGGAUUUUCAGAUAGUGUAUAGGGGUAGGAAUGCUUCCUAUGAUCCCAUUAUUAUACAUUAUUUGGAAUGAUCAAUUAUAAAGGUUGGAAAAUGACGAGGGUGUCGAUCCAGUAUGCGAGUUCCGCUUUGUUUACUUUUUAUUAUUAUACAUUAUUUGGAAUGAUCAAUUAUAAAGGUUGGAAAAUGACGAGGGUGUCGAUCCAGUAUGCGAGUUCCGCUUUGUUUACUCUCUAAAAAGAAUAAGUAUAGGGGCGAGAAAGAGCACAAAAGAAAAAAAAAUGGUCGACUUAUCAUGGUAUAGUAGAGGAAUGAGUCUAGAAGGAUCUUGAAUGUUAGCUUGAUUGAUGAAAUCCAACGAUGAAAGCCUGGUGGAUAUAGUUGUGGAACUUAGGUAUGAAAUUUAGAAAGUUGUGUAAGCUUGCAGAGAAGUACAUGUUGGUUAGGAUUUGAUUAGACUUGCUAGGCAUGUGGAUUCAGUUUGGAUGAUCAUGGCAAUAAACUAGAGAAUGUUGGGAGUUCCUUUGUUUCAAAAUCUCUUCCACGGGUUCGGCUUUUGUGUUUUGCUUGAAGGCAAGCAAAAGCUAAGUCUGGGGGAGUUGAUAUAUCCCUACUUUACUGAUUUUACCUAUGUUUUAGGUAUAGGAUUUUGGGUCUUUAUGUUAUUUCUCGAGUCUUUUUAGUGUCUUUUCAGGUAUUCUAUGUAGUGGGACAACAAUGGAGAUGAAGAGACAUUUUCGAGCAAAAGCUAAGGUAAAGGAAGCAAAGGACGAUUUCAGUUCCAGAUUCAGCGAGAGUGUCGAUCGAUACACUCCUGGUGUCGAUCGAUCGACACCUGUUUCGGCCCAGCAAAGUCCAUUACGCUUUCAAGUUUACAGAAGAGGAAAUUUGCCCCAUAAGACUUCCCUAUUUGCAUUAUUAGUCCAUGGACGUUUUAUAGGGCUUAUAUAUAGUUUUAGAGCUCAUUAUUUAGACCUAAGUUCCUUUUAUCAAGUUCUUUGCAAAUCCCUAUUUUCAGAGACUGAAGCUAUUCAUCCCUUGUUCUUGAGAGAUUCAUUUAGUUUUCAAUACAGUGAAGAGAUCCUUAUCUUAUUUGCUGUGUUUAUACUUUCUUAUUCAAUUAUGUUGCUUGUUUUAUUUAAUAUGUCUGAGUAGUUUCCUUGUUAGGAAGAGGGUUUCUCAUUAGGGAUUCAUAUGGUUUAGUAGAUCACCCCCUUAGCUAGGUUAUCAGAAUUCUUCAUCUUUGAUUAUAUUUUAUGCUAGAUCUAGCGUAAUUAACUAGAUCUUGAAUCCAGACAAUAGAUAUGCCCACCAUAGGUAUCUGUAGUUGGAUCUAUUAUUUGAUGAGCCUGGUUUAUAGGUGUGUAAUAAGAAUCGGCCUAUCUACUAAGUUGAAAAUUGAACUCUUUUAGAAUGCAUGUUUAGGCUGAAAAUCUUUCGGCUUCUCCGGUUAUUCUUAACUAUCGACAUAGGGAGUUUCGUAGAGCACCACCGGUUAUUCCAUAAUUAGAGUUUGAGUUUAAGAAUGGUUCGAUAACAACCUAGCUUUCAUUAGAUCUACUAACUAAUAGUUUCCUAAGAAUACCUUGUUCCUAGCUCUUUAUUUAAUCAUUUACAACCAAUCAAUCUGCUGUCUUUAUACCUUGUUCUCUUUUUAUUUCAAUCAUUACCUGCUAGCUUAAUCUCGACAUUCAACUCAUUGUUUGAACAAAAGAACUUUGUGGAAAUCGAUCCUUAAAUACUACAAUUGAUCUCUUAUUUGAGGGAGUAGUUCUUAAGGAAAUUUGAACCUUAUCAGAGAGGAACAGCGUGUUUACAUUUGACAAGCCUUAGUGAAUCAAAUAGAUGGCAUUCGAGAUUGAGACACACAAAUCUCGACACAAUCAAGUCAAUGAUACAAAAGGAGCUAGUAAGAGGAAUUCCACACGUCAAGAUCGAAAAAGAAGUUUGUGAUUUAUGCUUGUUUGGGAAGCAAUCAAGGCAAGUUUUUCCUCAAGGAACCUCAUACAGAGCUGCCAAGAUACUUGAACUCGUUCAUGGAGAUUUAUGUGGUCCUAUAACACCAAGCACACAUGCGGGAAACAAGUACAUUUUUGUUAUUAUCGAUGAUAAAUCUAGGUACAUGUGGACAGCUUUGCUUAAGGAGAAAAGCGACUCUUUCAACAAAUUUAAACAAUUCAGAGCUUUAGUUGAACAAGAAACAAGAAUUAAGAUUCAGACUUUCAGAACAAACAGAGGAGGAGAGUUUAUAUUGCAUGAGUUCACUAAGUUUUGUGAAGAAUCGGGCAUUAAAAGGCACCUUACUGCUCCAUAUUCACCACAACAGAAUGGUGUGGUUGAAAGAAGAAACAGAACUCUGAUGGGAAUGACAAGGAGUGUCAUGAAACACAUGCAUAUACCUAGUUACUUGUGGGGAGAAACAAUAAGACACGCUACUUACCUGUUGAACCGGAUAGCUAGCUACAAGAUUUGUGACUGAUAGCACUCCAUAUGAAGCCUUCUACCGAAAGAAACCAAACGUGAAUCAGCUUAGAGUUUUUGGCUGCAUUGGAUACGCAAAAGUGGAGAAAACACACUUGAAGAAACUAGAUGACAGGUCGAGAAAACUAGUACAUUUAGGUACUGAGCCGGGUUCAAAGGCAUAUCGCUUACUUGACCCCGUAAACUGGAAAAUUGUGGUGAGUAGAGACGUUGUGUUUGAUGAAACAAAAGGAUGGGAUUGGAGUCACAAUAAACCCGAACAUGAUCAUAAUGAAAGCUUCAGUGUCACACUUGGAGAAUUCAGGAAUCAUGGUUUACGAGAAGAAGACAAUGAAUAUGUUGAGACAGAGCAAACAGAGCCUAUUCAGGAGAAUGAAGAACAACAUGAUCAUGAAACGAUUGGAGAAAAUUAAGAAGUCUCUGUAGAUCUUGGAAUAGAAAAUCAAAAUCAACAACCUAGUCUAAGAGGAUCGCAAAGACAAAGCGUAAAGCCAAAGUAUCUUUAAGAUUAUGCAUUACUUGCAGAAGAAGAAGGAGAAAGCCUACUUCUAAUUUUGAAUAAAGAACCAAGAAGCUUCAGUGAGGCUUAGGAGUUUAGAGAUUUGACACUUGCGUGUGAAGACGAGAUACACUCAAUAACAAAGAAUAAGACAUGGAGUCUUGAAGAGCUGCCGCAUGGAGUUAAACCUAUAGGUCUAAACUCAAACGCAACUCGGACGAGAGCAUUUACAAACGCAAGGCUCGAUUGGUCGCCAAAGGUUACGUUCAGCGCUAUGGAGUAGAUUUUGAAGAAGUAUUCGCUCUUGUAGCUCGUCUUAAGAUCAUACGCCUUCUUGUGAACCUUGCAUCAUCAAAUGGUUGGGAGAUACACCAUCUUGAUGUCAAGACAGCAUUCCUUUAUAAAGGAAACCGUGUACGUGACCCAACCAAAGGAUUCGAAGAAAGAGGAAAGGAAGGGAAAGUCUAUAAGCUUCACAAAGCUUUGUAUGGAUUACGACGAGCACAAAGAGCAUAGAACCAUAAGCUGAAUCUGAUUCUUACAGAACUACAAUUCGAAAAGUGUUCCAAAGAACCAUCAGUGUACUGUAAAAACGUAAGCGGAAACACUUUUCUACUUGUGGCAGUGUAUGUAGAUGAUCUCCUCAUAAGAAUCGACAACAGAUCAGCAAUCGCCCUUACCAAGAAUCGUGUCUUCCACGGUCAAAGCAAGCACAUUCAUAGACGUUAUCACUUCAUAAGAGAAUGUGUGGAGAAUGGGCAAGUAGAGGUGGAACACGUUCCGGGAAAUGAGCAAAAGGCAGACAUCGUCACUAAAGCUCUUGGAAGAAUGAAGUUCAAAGAAAUGAGAGAUCUCAUUGGAGUUCAAGAUGUGGUGAAAGAUGGUCUCAAGUUUAAAGGGGAGAAUGUGGGAGUAAGCUUGAGUGUUACUUGAGAUUUAAGUUGUUUAGUUUUGAGAAGGAUUAAGUUUAAUUCCAUAGUAGUUAUCUAAGGAUAUUAUUAGGAGUUAUGUAAUAUUAAUCCUAGUGUGUUUAAGUUUAGAUUAUUGAUCUCUAUAUAAGAGUUACGAAAGUUGUGGUGAACCUUAACAAAAUUAGAGAUUGUGAAGAGAUCAAUAGCUUUAGGUUUUGAGUGAGUUUUCUAAAGAUAUUAAAGAGAGUUAUUCUUUAUUUUGAGUUCUUAAACAUAUCUCUAAAACAAGAUCUUGUACCUCUUUCGAAUCCGGAGAAACCGUCUAACAAUUGUUAUAUUAGGUCCACUAUUAAUCGAAUAUCUGAUUCCUUAAUAAUUUAAUUUGUAUCUACACAGGGGACAUAAGUUACUAGUGUUAAGCCACUUUACAAUGCAUUCUUUACCAAAUCUAUGACCACAAUCUAAAAUCACCCAUUGAGAUCCAUUUAAAAAUGUCUUCAAACAUAUAAGGCGCACAUUCUUCUUGAAGACCACUUUGUUUCUCUUCGUAAAGUUUUACAUCCAACGCUUCAAUUGCUUGCUUACUUGCUGGCUGAAACUUCAUUUCUGUAGAUUCUAAGGAUUCUUGAAUCACUUGGUCAUCGCCAUUGAAAGCUGCUAAUGUACUAAAGGAUAUUAUAAGAGUGUUUUCCCUGUUGUAUUCCUCAGCAUAAACCAGAUCUUAUGCCAACAUGAUCAUAUUUAUAAUCGUUAUAUCUGCAUCUUCUGAAUCCAUACCAGCUAUUACCAAAGAGUAAUAUAAAUCUUCUUUUAUAACGUUUUCUUUUUCAACAAUAAAUUCUUCAAUUGUAAAUGUGUAAAACAAUUUUUCUGGUUCUCUUCCAUGUUGAAUUACCUUCACAAACGUAAUCAGAAUCACUCUCAAUCUUCACUUGAAAAGAAGGAUUUACAGUAUUCAUUAGUGUAAACCAAAAAGAAGAACUCAUUUUAGUGGUUGAAAGAAAUUUUGUUCGUUAAUUUAAAACAUUAGACAUGCGUGAGUAAGAGACACAAUUUUAAAAAUAUAUUUUCUUUUCCAAAUAACUUAUUAUCAUAACCGUUAAGUGCAUUUAUAGGCACGUGUCUGCCGAAUUUAUUAGUUUCUGUAAGUUUAAAUUAAUAUAUGCUGUAAUUAUUAUAUAUAUGAAAUUUAGUCAAUUCUCUCCAUAUGAUUGACACAUCAUCACUUUAACAUUUGCCAUGUGUCUAUUAAAUAAUUAAUGUAAUCUCUUCAACUUUUAAUUUAUAAGUUAAUGAUAUAUUUAUUAUUUAAUUUUAGAUAUUAUUUUAUUUUACAUAUUUAGUUGUACUAUUACUAAAUUUAUUUUAAUAUUACAUGAUUUUUCAAUAAAACUAUUAUAAUAGUUUUCUCUACUCGAAGAUUUUUUUUUUGUAAUCCAAACUCAAAGUAUGAGUGUAUAAUAGUCGUGGAUUACUUAAUGAUUUGAGUAAGUUAUUUUCUUAAAUUGAUAUUUAUAUUCUCCUAAAUUAAUAUUUAUAUAAUAAAUUAUUGAGGGUGAGGAAUACGUAAGGAGCUCCACUAUCAAAUUCUUAAGUUUCUAGAAUCCAACACUACCAUCUAUUAAAUUGGUUUAAGACAAACGUUGUUUAUGAAUUAUGUGCAUGAUGCAUUGGUGAGAAUUUGUUAGAAAAAAUAUUUUAAAUACUAAAAGUAAUUGCUUAUUGUAUGAGUGAAUAAUUAAAUAAAUAAAUUAUUUAUAUAUUUAAGUUAAACAAGACAAAAUAUCCAAAAAAACCGCGGCGUAACACGGAUGAUCCUAGUAUUUAUAAUAAUUCAACGAUAAUUUAUAUAUGUGUGACUAAAGUUAGUCUUCGCGAGACGGUGUAUUUUAAAUAUCUUUCGUAACCUUUGAUCUGAUAUUUAAUUAUGAAUAGACGUGUACGUUGAAAUAAAACCGUUUACAAUUAAUGACUCUUCACUAAAGACAACUUUACAAAAAAAAUAUAAAUAAAACGGUUUUUUCUUAAUAAAAAGUGUUAUCAAAUGGCCAAACGUUCUAUUAAUGAAUCAAACGAUUUUUAUGGGGAGGGAUCAUCUACCAUUGUUUCUAGUGAGAAAGGUAUUGUUAAAAAAAUAUAGCUCAUAGACUUAAUUUCUUUCUAUAAUUAAAUCUUUUUAUAGUUCAAAGAUUUGUUAGAAACGUUUUAACCAUGGAUGUUUACAGAAAUCUAAAAGAUUUUUUUUAAUAAAUAUCAGUCUUGGUUGAUAAUUAUUACAAUUAAAAUAGAUUCCACUGAAAAGGAUAACAUUGCAAAUGUAGUCUCCUGAUUUUCAAUGUCUCUGAGAUCGGAUGCUUAUUUUUUUGUCUUUGAGAUCUAUAGACACGGUGAUGACACGGUUUAUUCUCAUCCAAUUUUAGUAUUGUUCAACUUAAUAAAUAGUUGUUAAUUAGUAUAUAGAAGAAGUGGGUUACUACUCUUAUGUUUAUUUUCUUGCAUAUUUUCGUUCCAUUUUUUACAAAAUUCAAGGCUUUGAUAUACCUAUUUAAAGUUUUGAUUAUAAGUUCCUUUUAAUGUUCUAUACAAUAUGAAUAUGACACGAUUAUAUAUACAAUCUUCAGAAUUUUUAAUUUUUUCAUAAUCAGCAGAGGUAUUAUAUUUGCAAAGAAUCUUAAGUCAAGACCUCCUCUUUUAUGUUAUUUAAUCUUAUUAUUUUAAAAGUUUUCCAUAAAUUAAUUGUACAUUUGUCGUAUAGAUUAUCAACUUCAAACAUUAUCAAAGGAUAACGCACCACCAAAUAGCAAACGUAAGUAAAAAAUACAAUAUUUUAUAAAGAGAAUAUACAUAAAAUAACUAUGAAUCGUAAAAAAUUUAACAAAGUAGCUAUGGUGUCAGAGUACACUCUCUUUCUUCACUUACAAUUACUUUUAUACCAAUUUUCGAAUUUUAUAUAUAUUACACGCUAUUUUCCAAAAUCACACAGAAUAUUUAGAUGAUUCUAUUGUGAAAAACUUUUGACGAAUCCGAAAAACCCACCACUCAUCUCUCUUUCUUCUACCACCACAACCACCACAUCUUCCACCAUCACAACCACCAGAUCUCUUUUUCGAUAAAUCUAGGCUACUAAACUUUAUUUAUAUUGAUAGAUCAUCUCUCCCUCAAUUUGCAGAAGAUUUCUCAUUUUAUUUUGUUCAAUUUUGAUUCUUUCUUCGAACCUCUGUCGUUAUGUUCUCUUUUUAAAUUGUAUGUAAUUUUCUUUUUUACCAUGCUACUUUUUCGAAUUACAGGUUAUAAUUCGAAAUCUCUCUCAAACAACAUGCUACUUUUUCAUAUAACAAAUUAUUUAUUCUCAUAACACAUUAUAAAAUGUCAUUUUCUUUAUAAAUAUCAUGCUAUUUAUUUUGUUCGAUUUUGAUUCGUUCUUAGAAUCUCUGUCGUUAUGUUUUUUUUUAAAUUGCAUGUUAUUUUCUUUUGUACUAUGCUACUUUUUUAAUUACACGUGAUAACUGGAAAUCUCUCUAUGUCAACAUGCUACUUUUUCAUAUAACACAUUAUUUAUUCUUAUAACACAUUAUAAAAUGUCACUUUUUUGAUAAAUAUCAUGCUAUUUUCAUAAGCUUGGUUUUGGUUCAACUUGCAAGGACAUUUUUGUAGUUUCUUAUGCCGUCAUAAGGUUAUUUAUUCACAUACAAACUGACAAUGGUUAGUUACUUAAUUCUUUUCAAUUCUAUGGUUACUUUAUACUAUUACCCUUUUAUAAAUCCAAUUCAUUUAACUAACAUCUAUACUAUUAAUUGGGAAGCAUUGUGUGAACUACAACAUUGUAAGGGUAGUUUUAAUAAAUUAAUUUUUGCAUGGGUAAUUUAGUAAAUUAACAACUACUACAAAUAAAUAAAUAUCUUAGAUUUUGUUUAUAAAAAAAAAAUAUAAUUAAAUCAAUAAAUUAAUAACUACCCAAUAUUUUUGGAAAUCAUUUAAAAACGUUUCCAUAACAUAUCAGGCUAUUUUAAUUCGAAUUUUAUAUAUGUAAACUUAUUUAUUUUAGUAAUAUGUUAUUAGAUAAUACGGAAACUUCAAUCUAAUUUAAUAACAAAUUAUCAUUUAGUUUAAAUUUUAUACAAUUUCUUUAACAAAACUAUGUUAACUGUUUCUGAUUAGUACACAUAAAAAAUGAUUUUUAAUUAUGAUUUAGCAUUCAAAAGAGAAUUUUUGGAUUUUAGAUUUGUAAUUAACUAGAAAAUAGUUUCAGUACAGAUUAAAAUAUUUAACAUUUUUUAAAAAAAUACAUAAGGAUAAUGCAUAAGGAUAAGUUUAAUUUUAAAAAUAUACCAAAAUCAUUAAGAUCAUAGUAAAAUUUAGCUUUUAAAAAAAACAAAUCGUCAUCCUCAAUUUAAAAUAUAUAAUUCAGAUUAGUUUUUUCUAGUAAAGCUAAGAUUGAAUCCAAAUUAAAAUCUAAUUUUGCGUACAAUCUAUCUCUUAUAAAUGUUAUGCAUACAUUCACAUUCACAUUGCGUACAAUCUAUCUCUUAUAAAUGUUAUGCAUAAUUUUGAGAUUCAUAAGUAACUUACAUCAUGUUCUAAUGAUGUUUAUCUCCUAAUUUUACUAUUCAUUUAUGCAUAUUCUUAUAGAUUUUUCUUUCAGGGUCAACACUUGAAUACAAGAAAUUAGUCGGGUGUUGGUCAAUAUUAUACCACAGAUAAAAUCAUGGAAUUAACAAUUAAAAUAUAGUUAUACAAUCUGAAACAAUAAACAAAACAAAUAUAACUUAAUUUAUUUUUUAUUUUUAACUAAAAUCAACAAAUUUAUCAGUUUAUUAAAAAAAAAAAAAAACAAUUAGCAUGUGGUACCCUACGGGUAAAUCACUACGAUUUCAUGAGGUUGCAAUAUCAAUUUAUACAAAUUUUGACUUUUAAAAUAUACUUUAUACAAUUAUUGAAAGGUAUACACUAAAAAUUGGUUUUAUAUACUACAAUAUCAUAAAGUUAUAAAUCAAAAAUUAUUUUUAAAUAUAUUAAUCCAAGAUCUACCACAAGUUAAUCCCUCGAUUUUUUAACAUAUUACAAUAAGAAUAUUAAAAAUAACAAAAAUAAUAUUUAAUUUUACGAAAUGAAGUUAUCUGGUGGAACGAGUUUGGUUUGAUAUUCAUACGGGAUGAUAAUCUACGAGUGAAAUCUUAGAAUUAACAAUUUUAACACAAUUAUCCUAUCUCAAACACUAAACAAAAGAAACAAUAUUUACAAAACAACUAUAAACUUAAAAUUUGAAUUUUUAGUUACAAAAAAAUCAACUAAUGGUGUACCUCAAAGUAAAUUUCACGCUAUAUCAUCUAAUUGAUCAAAUUUCAAACAAAACAAUUAAUUUGUAUAUACAUCAAACUAACAAAAAUACACAGAUUUUCCAAAUAUCUCUAUAUUAUUCCGCAAAUCGAAACAAAUCUAAUAUUCAAUUUAUUAUGCAAAAUACGAAAAAUAUAAAAAAUAUAAAUUAAUUAAAAAAUUUAGCUAUUGUAUCAUAAAUAACAUUAUACACUUUUCUAUGCACAUUAUAAUUUAUACACUACAAUAUCUUUCACCAAAAAUGUAUUAUAGUUAUUUCUUAAAAUAUGAAACCCCGCACAUAUGUGCGGGUCAAAAUCUAGUAUGAUGAUAAACUUAAAAUCAUUGCUUAUGUUUUACAAACUGUUUUGACAAAAUUAAAUAGAAAAAAGGACGACCAUUUAAAAAAGAACCACAAUGUAAUAAAUAAUAGAUGGAUGCCCAUUAUAAGGCUCUUCAUCUAGGUCCAUCAUCUAGAUGUCUCUAGGGUUUUAGCCUUCCCUUGUACUCCUAUAUAAAGGACUCUUUAUUCAAUGGAAUAACACACUCAUUUUUCUUCUAUCUCUUUCUCUAGUCAUAACACGUUAUCAACACGCUCUAAAAGGUAGAUAUAGAGAUUCUUACAUUUUUUUUAGAACCAUGUUUACUUACAUGGUUCACAAUAUUUAUUUUUCUAUUAUUGAAAUAAAACAAUAUUUGUCGAUCGAUGAUUAUGGUAUCAAUCGGUAAAAGCAUCAUUUCAAUGAUUCAGUAAAGAAGAGAAUCAUGCUUAUCAUUUGUUUCUCUAAUUAUUAUUGCAUGAUUCAAUGAUUCUACAAAAAAAAUUGUUAAAGAAGAGAAUCAUGUUUGUUCAUUGUUGAUUAUUAAUUAUUAAUUUUUUUGAAAUCUACUAUAAUAAUAUAAAAUAUUUUAUUUGAUAUCUUAUUUAGUUAAUAUUUUAUUGUCUAAAAUUCUACAAUUCAAAUUUAAUCUCCUUGAUUUAUCGGUAACGGAUUAGGCACAGUCUAUUUGUCAGUUUGUACUUAAUCUAAUGUUGAAACUUUAUAUAGUCCUAUGAAUGUUUGGUAAAUAAUCGCAGGUUUACGAAUAUGGACUUCGUUGAUCAUACUUUUAACAUGCCGUUAAAGUCAUCAAGUUACAGGUAAUUGACUAAUUUACUCCAUUGAGAGUAGCUUAUUUUGUUAAGCAUGUGUAAUAUGCAGAAUCUAUAAAACUUUGUCCACUUUCAUUCAUAUUAAUAAGGAUUUGAAUUGAAAUUCUGAGAAUGAGAGGUAACCAUAAAUAUCCUCUAUGAGAACUAUAAUAGCCCUUAAAAAGAAACUUAUGUCGUCCAAUUGCAAAGAUAGAAAGUUUAAAUUCAACUGCCUUAUCAGCUUGUAUAUAAAAUCAAGCUUCUUCAACUAUUGAUUUCAAAUGUUCAAUUAGUCUUCUUGAUAGUCUUUUGCUCUGGAGCCGGCAAAUUAGAAUCAGAGACAAAUUAUAUCAGUUUAAUUAGAGAUACAAAUAAGUCAAACAAAUUAUAGCAGUUUAAUUAGAGUAAAUCCUUAAAAAGAUAAACCAAAAACUAAAUCCGAAAAAUAUAAUUAAGCAAAGUACGCACCUUAGUGUAGGUGUUUUCUUUUGACCAAAAAAAAAAAAAGUUUAGCUGUUGUCUUGUGUUUAAGAAACGUCUACGUGGUAGCCUCUGAAUUUUUUUAUUUUUUUUUUGUCAAAUAGUUGGUUUUCAUUAAUUGAGAACCGGUACAGCUGGAAUUAAAAGCAAAGCGGCCUUAGCAAGUGCAUCGGCUUUAGAAUUGUUUUCUCUCUUAACAAAAGAAAAUGAAUUUUCUUCAAAGUUUAGGGAGAGAACUGAGAUGUCGAAGACUAUCCCAUGGAGCUCCAUUGGAUGAGGCUCACCAUUUAGUACUUUGACUAGCUGCUGCGAGUCUGAAGCUACAACAAGUUUUUUGAAUCCAAGAUCUGCUGCGUGUUGGAUAGCGAGAGAGAGAGCCGAUGCUUUUGCCAAUAAGGGAGAUCUGAUGUUCAUCGCUGCAGCUUUAUGAUGGGAUUCCAAAUGGUUCGAAUGGUCCACAAAAACCCAACCGAAACCAGCCUGUAAGGUCUCUUCUCUCCACGAAGCAUCUGUAGAACAUUGAAUCGUGUCUAAAUCGAUCUCUGAGGGAGAUAUACCUGGAAUCACGAUCUUAGAUUUCGAUGCUUGGAUCUGAGCUCCUAACCAUUCUGUGGAUUGAGAAAUAGAUUGGGAUAUGAGAUCCAUACUCGAGAUGUGUUUUUGCUCAAAAAUUAGCUUGUUCCUGCAAUUCCAUAGGUUCCACAAGAUCCAAAUGGGAAGUUGUCCUUGUCCAAUUCCGAUUGGUGGAAGGGUAACGAGGAGCUUUGAGACUUCCAAACCCUGUUUCAUACUUGUGAUCCGGGAAGCUUGAAGCGUGGUUUUGAAAGGAGAAAGAUCCCAGACCUUAGAAGCAAAUGGGCAGAGGAAAAGCAGAUGGAGAAUUGAUUCAGCCUCGUCGCAGUGAGGACAGAGAGCAAGCGGAUUUAUACCACGCAGCCUCAGGUUUUCACCAACUGGGAGAGCAUUCUUCAUGGCUUUCCAGAGGAAAAUUUUCAAUUUUGGGGGGCAGUGUUUGGUCCAUAUCUCCUUAUUUCAGUUAAAGUCCAAUGGAGGUUCUUCUAGUUGAGUACCUUGGUGAGAAAGAGCAUCAGCUGCGUGAUACCCUGUCUUGACCGAGUAGUCUCUAGUCUUAUUAGGUAACCAAACAUAUCGAUCUCUGGCUCCAAAUUUGCUGGGUCUUAGAAGGAAGAUCUCCUUUUCAUAGCUGGGAAGUAACAAUCUUACUUUCUCUCUAUCCCAAGACUUUGUGGUUUGACAAAUAAGCUGAGCUACUGUCAUUGAUUUGAAUUGUUCAAGUGCAGGACCCAUUGGAGUUGAGGAGGUUGAAAGAGAUAGCCACGGUUCGUUCCAAACCAAAGUAUCCAAGCCCGAUCCAAUCACUUUCCCCAGCUGAGAUUUGAUUAGAUCUUUGCCCGUACAAAUGCCUCUCCAACCGUGAGAAGAAGCAGCAGUGACUGAGCAGUCUAGGAAGGACGAGGUUCGACAAUACUUUCCUAGCAGAAUUCUAACCAAAACACACGAUGGAGAUUGCACAAUACGCCAACUCAACUUUGCAAGCAAGGCAUCAUUAAAAUUUGUAAUAUCUUUGAAACCAAGUCCACCCUCCUUCUUGUUCUUUGCCAUUUUUGACCAGGCUAUCCAACACAUCUUCUUUUUAUCUGCAGAAGAGUCCCACCAAAAAUGAGUGAGGGCUGAUUGGAUUCUCUUACAAAGAGAGACAAGAAGUUUGAAGCAGGACAUGGUAUAGGUAGGCAUCGAUGCUAGUACAGACUUCAACAUUGUGGUUUUGCCCGCAGUGGAUAAGAACCGAGAAGACCAACUCAAAGAUCGCUGCCGUAUUCUAUCAACAAUCUGAUUGAAGAGAUCUCUCUUCUUUCUACCAAACAUCUUAGGUAAGCCCAGAUAUUUCCCUAGUCCUCCAACCAGCUGAAUUCCAAGUAUUUGUUGAGCUUCUGUUUUGAUAUGAUCAGGGGUUUUCCUUGAAAAAGUGAUUGCUGAUUUUGAUUUAUUGAUCAUUUGACCAGAUGCCUCUUCAUAUUUCUUGAGAAUGCACAAGAAAGUCUUACAACUUUUGAGAUCAGAGCGGCAGAAAAAUAUCGUAUCAUCUGCAAAAAGAAGAUGAUUAACUCUAGGAUUGCCUUUAGAGACCCGUAAUCCGAGAAGAGAUCCAUCGAGCUGAGCUUUCCUGCACAAACCAGAGAGAA
RNAcentral lists this long non-coding RNA (19547 nucleotides) under Arabidopsis thaliana (thale cress). RNAcentral's name for it is "long non-coding RNA (ATHA_LNC000689)". The record is from RNAcentral. Lineage: Eukaryota; Viridiplantae; Streptophyta; Magnoliopsida; Brassicales; Brassicaceae.